UAAACUUGUUGAAGUUAAAAAGCUCGUAGUUGAAUUUCGGGAUCAUCAGGUUGGUCGUGCCUCUGGUAUGUACUGAUUUCGAUGGUUCCUCCUUCUUGUAGAACCAUAAUGCCAUUAAUUUGGUGUUGCGGGAAAACAGGACUGUUACUUUGAAAAAAUUAGAGUGUUUAAAGCAGGCAAUCGCUUGAAUACAUUAGCAUGGAAUAAUGAAAUAGGACGUUUGAUCCUAUUUUGUUGGUUUCUAGGAUUGACGUAAUGAUUAAUAGGG
RNAcentral lists this ribosomal RNA (268 nucleotides) under uncultured Glomus. RNAcentral describes it as "partial small subunit ribosomal RNA". It matches the Rfam family "Eukaryotic small subunit ribosomal RNA", at positions 605 to 877 of the family's 1831-position model. Lineage: Eukaryota; Fungi; Glomeromycota; Glomeromycetes; Glomerales; Glomeraceae. The record is from RNAcentral.